CCUACGGGUGGCAGCAGUGAGGAAUAUUGGUCAAUGGGCGCGAGCCUGAACCAGCCAAGUCGCGUGAGGGAAGACGGUCCUAUGGAUUGUAAACCUCUUUUGUCGGGGAGCAAAAGACGCCACGCGUGGCGUUCCGAGAGUACCCGAAGAAAAAGCAUCGGCUAACUCCGUGCCAGCAGCCGCGGUAAUACGGAGGAUGCGAGCGUUAUCCGGAUUUAUUGGGUUUAAAGGGUGCGCAGGCGGAAGAUCAAGUCAGCGGUAAAAUUGAGAGGCUCAACUUCGGAAUUGCCUCUGAUACUGUUCGGCUAGAGAGUAGUUGCGGUAGGCGGAAUGUAUGGUGUAGCGGUGAAAUGCUUAGAGAUCAUACAGAACACCGAUUGCGAAGGCAGCUUACCAAGCUACUUCUGACGUUGAGGCACGAAAGCGUGGGGAGCAAACAGGAUUAGAUACCCCAGUAGUC
This 460-nucleotide ribosomal RNA is filed under the name uncultured bacterium. RNAcentral describes it as "partial 16S ribosomal RNA". It matches the Rfam family "Bacterial small subunit ribosomal RNA", at positions 338 to 795 of the family's 1533-position model. The record is from RNAcentral.